AGCGUGGAGACAGGUGGUGCAUGGCUGUCGUCAGCUCGUGUCGUGAGAUGUUGGGUUAAGUCCCGCAACGAGCGCAACCCUCACCCUUUGUUGCCAUCAGGUUAUGCUGGGCACUCUAAGGGAACUGCCUCGGUUAACGAGGAGGAAGGUGGGGAUGACGUCAAGUCAUCAUGCCCCUUACGCUCUGGGCUACACACGUGCUACAAUGGCCAAUACAAAGGGCUGCAAACCCGCGAGGGCAAGCCAAUCCCAAAAAAUUGGUCUCAGUUCAGAUUGUAGGCUGCAACCCGCCUGCAUGAAGGAGGAAUCGCUAGUAAUCGUGGAUCAGCAUGCCACGGUGAAUACGUUCCCGGGCCUUGUACACACCGCCCGUCAUACCACGAAAGUCUGCUGUACUCGAAGUCGCUGAG
RNAcentral lists this ribosomal RNA (410 nucleotides) under uncultured Methylomirabilota bacterium. Its description in RNAcentral is "bacterial SSU rRNA". It matches the Rfam family "Bacterial small subunit ribosomal RNA", at positions 1025 to 1434 of the family's 1533-position model. The record is from RNAcentral. Lineage: Bacteria; Methylomirabilota (SeqCode).